ACCAAGAAGCUCAAGGAUGUUCUGGAGGAGUUUCACGGUGAAGGAGUCCUCUCCAAGUACAAUCCUGAGCAGGUACAGUACGUCACUCAGCCCAUAGACUAUGAGGGUUUCCAGCUCUUCAUGACCACAUACCUGGAGAACGACAUCCCUGAGGAACUGUGUCAGCACCUGUUCACCUCCUUCAAGAGCAAGACAGGGGGCUGCUCUCCUGAGGUGCCCCCCAAACUCUCCACAGGUAGCAGUAGUAAUGCUCUGACCCCCACCCCAAAGGGCUCCCCCUUACCCUCCCCCCAGGUGGUGUUUCUGAAGGACAUUGUGUGUUACCUGUCCCUGCUGGAGAGGGGCACACCAGAGGACAAGCUGGAAUUCAUGUUCCGGCUGUACGACACAGAUGGCAAUGGAGUACUGGACAGCUCGGAACUGGACCGCAUCAUCAAUCAGAUGGUCCACGUGGCAGAGUACCUGGAAUGGGACUCUACAGAGCUGCGACCAAUCCUGAAGGAGAUGAUGGAAGAGAUAGACUAUGACCGAGACGGAACAGUCACUCUGGAGGAGUGGAUCAGAGGAGGCCUCACCACCAUCCCUCUGCUGGUCCUGCUGGGUAUGGAGACGGUAAGGCACUUUGUGUGUUGUUCAAACUGUCUCUCUCUGUACCUCUGUGUUUCAGUAUGCAAGUACACAGUCCAUGAACGCUGUGUAUCCAAAGACAUCGCUGCCUGCAUCAGCACCUACGCCAAGUCCCGCAGACACACUAAUGCUAUGCAGCACGUGUGGAUGGAGGGAAACUCUCCCACUAAGUGCGACCGCUGUCACAGAAGUAUCAAGUGCUACCAGGGCUUAACGGGCCUACACUGUGUGUGGUGUCAGAUCACUCUCCAUAAUAAGUGUGCGUCCAACAUGAAACCGGAGUGUGAUGGAGGAGCCCUUAGAGACCACACUCUACUCCCAUCCUACAUCUGCCCUGUAGUCCUGGUGAGAUCACACGCCGUAAAUCACACUCUGAAUCUCGAAAUGUUUUAUCUCCAAUACUUUCAAUGCUGGAAAAAACCUUUGAAAUAUAUAAUUAUAGACCCACAAAAGUAUACUGAAGGGAGGACGGCUCAUAAUAAUGGCUGGAAUGGAAUCACUCCUCUCCCAGGCACACAUCCCCUCCUGGUCCUGGUCAACCCAAAGAGUGGCGGGAGACAAGGGGAGCGGGUAUUGAGAAAGUUCCAGUACCUGCUGAACCCCAGACAGGUGUACAGUCUAGACCGAGAGGGACCCAUGGUGGGGCUCAACUUCUUCCAUGAUGUCCCUGAUUUCCGGGUGCUGGCGUGUGGAGGGGAUGGGACAGUGGGAUGGAUCUUAGACUGUAUUGACAAGGCCAACUUCACCAGAGAUCCCCCUGUGGCCAUCCUCCCUCUGGGCACAGGGAACGACCUGGCAAGAUGCCUACGCUGGGGUGGAGGUUAUGAAGGAGGCAGUCUUCUGAAGUUCCUGCGGGACAUAGAGCACAGCACAGAGAUGGUUCUGGACCGAUGGAACAUCGACAUCGUCCCUGUUGACAAGGAGGAGAAGGGAGACCCUGUCCCCAACAGCAUCGUCAACAACUACUUCUCCAUCGGAGUGGAUGCGUCCAUCGCUCAUCGCUUCCACUUGAUGAGAGAGAAGCACCCAGAGAAAUUCAACAAGACCAUCUCUGCCACGUGCAAGAAACUCAACGAGUGUAUCGAAGUGGAGUGUGAUGGUAUCAUCCUGGACCUCAGCAGCACGUCGUUGGAAGGCAUCGCCGUCCUCAACAUACCCAGCAUGCAUGGCGGCUCCAACCUGUGGGGCGAGACCAAGAAGAGGAGGAACUACAGCCGCAUGAGCAAGAAGGUUCCGGACAGGAUGCCCGCCAGUACCGUCACCGAUAUAAAGGAGCUCAAAUUCUGUGUUCAGGACCUGAGUGACCAGUUGCUAGAGGUGGUGGGUCUGGAGGGGGCCAUGGAGAUGGGGAAGAUCUACUCAGGCCUGAAGAGUGCUGGCCGUAGACUGGCCCAGUGUGCUAACGUCACCAUCAGGACAUCCCGGCUGCUGCCCAUGCAGAUCGAUGGGGAGCCUUGGAUGCAGCCCCCAUGCACGAUCAAGAUCACACAUAAGAACCAGGUUCCCAUGCUACUGGGCCCUCCUCAGAAGACCCCCUUCUUGUUCUUCAAGAGACGCAACAGAAGUCGGGACUAUGAGUGAGGAGGACACUUCAAACUCCCCCCUCUUCACAAACACAUUCACCAACCUCUUGGGACAACUCAAUAGGUCCCACAGACCAAGUCAUUGCCCCUUGGACCUACAGUACCACUUCAGAAUGAACUGACUUCCUCUCAGUGUAAUGACCACUUCCUGUGUAUCCAUGUUCUAGCUUCUAGAACUUCCUGUGAACUCUGAACUCUGACCCUGCCACUGGCACACUAGCUCAGUCAACCCCAGCUCCAGACUCAGCU
Molecule: long non-coding RNA, 2459 nt
Filed under: Salmo trutta (river trout)
Lineage: Eukaryota; Metazoa; Chordata; Actinopteri; Salmoniformes; Salmonidae
Description: lncRNA (ENSSTUG00000019667.1)
Source: RNAcentral